UACCAGCACCCCGAGUGGUCUGGGCGUUUAUUGGGCCUAAAGCGUCCGUAGCCGGUUCUACGAGUCUUCCGUUAAAUCCACCUGCUUAACAGAUGGGCUGCGGAAGAUACUAUAGAGCUAGGAGGCGGGAGAGGCAAGCGGUACUCGAUGGGUAGGGGUAAAAUCCGUUGAUCCAUUGAAGACCACCAGUGGCGAAGGCGGCUUGCCAGAACGCGCUCGACGGUGAGGGAUGAAAGCUGGGGGAGCAAACCGG
This 253-nucleotide ribosomal RNA is filed under the name uncultured bacterium. RNAcentral describes it as "partial 16S ribosomal RNA". It matches the Rfam family "Archaeal small subunit ribosomal RNA", at positions 474 to 727 of the family's 1478-position model. The record is from RNAcentral.